Molecule: ribosomal RNA, 492 nt
Filed under: uncultured bacterium
Lineage: Bacteria
Description: partial 16S ribosomal RNA
Rfam family: Bacterial small subunit ribosomal RNA
Source: RNAcentral
AGUGAACGCUGGCGGUAGGCCUAACACAUGCAAGUCGAACGGCAGCACAGUAAGAGCUUGCUCUUACGGGUGGCGAGUGGCGGACGGGUGAGGAAUACAUCGGAAUCUACUUUUUCGUGGGGGAUAGCGUAGGGAAACUUACGCUAAUACCGCAUACGACCUACGGGUGAAAGCAGGGGAUCUUCGGACCUUGCGCGAUUGAAUGAGCCGAUGUCGGAUUAGCUAGUUGGCGGGGUAAAGGCCCACCAAGGCGACGAUCCGUAGCUGGACUGAGAGGAUGAUCAGCCACACUGGAACUGAGACACGGUCCAGACUCCUACGGGAGGCAGCAGUGGGGAAUAUUGGACAAUGGGCGCAAGCCUGAUCCAGCCAUACCGCGUGGGUGAAGAAGGCCUUCGGGUUGUAAAGCCCUUUUGUUGGGAAAGAAAAGCAGCAGGUUAAUACCCCGCUGUUCUGACGGUACCCAAAGAAUAAGCACCGGCUAACUUCGUG